RNAcentral lists this ribosomal RNA (482 nucleotides) under uncultured bacterium. RNAcentral's name for it is "partial 16S ribosomal RNA". It matches the Rfam family "Bacterial small subunit ribosomal RNA", at positions 30 to 507 of the family's 1533-position model. The record is from RNAcentral.
AUUGAACGCUGGCGGCAUGCUUUACACAUGCAAGUCGAACGGUAACAGGUCUUCGGAUGCUGACGAGUGGCGAACGGGUGAGUAAUACAUCGGAACGUGCCUGGUAGUGGGGGAUAACUACUCGAAAGAGUAGCUAAUACCGCAUGAGAUCUACGGAUGAAAGCAGGGGACCUUCGGGCCUUGUGCUACUAGAGCGGCUGAUGGCAGAUUAGGUAGUUGGUGGGGUAAAGGCUUACCAAGCCUGCGAUCUGUAGCUGGUCUGAGAGGACGACCAGCCACACUGGGACUGAGACACGGCCCAGACUCCUACGGGAGGCAGCAGUGGGGAAUUUUGGACAAUGGGCGAAAGCCUGAUCCAGCAAUGCCGCGUGCAGGAUGAAGGCCCUCGGGUUGUAAACUGCUUUUGUACGGAACGAAAAGCCUGGGGCUAAUAUCCCCGGGUCAUGACGGUACCGUAAGAAUAAGCACCGGCUAACUACGUG